Molecule: ribosomal RNA, 948 nt
Filed under: uncultured bacterium
Lineage: Bacteria
Description: bacterial SSU rRNA
Rfam family: Bacterial small subunit ribosomal RNA
Source: RNAcentral
GCAAACGUUGUUCGGAAUCACUGGGCGUAAAGGGCGCGCAGGCGGUUUGAUUAGUCAGAUGUGAAAGCCCACGGCUUAACCGUGGAAGUGCAUUUGAAACUGUCAGACUUGAGUACCAGAGGGGGUAGUGGAAUUCCCGGUGUAGAGGUGAAAUUCGUAGAUAUCGGGAGGAAUACCGGUGGCGAAGGCGACUACCUGGCUGGAUACUGACGCUGAGGCGCGAAAGCGUGGGGAGCAAACAGGAUUAGAUACCCUGGUAGUCCACGCCGUAAACGAUGUGAACUAGGUGUAGGGGGUGUUGAUCCCUUCUGUGCCGCAGCUAACGCAUUAAGUUCACCGCCUGGGGAGUACGGUCGCAAGAUUAAAACUCAAAGGAAUUGACGGGGGCCCGCACAAGCGGUGGAGUAUGUGGUUUAAUUCGAUGCAACGCGAAGAACCUUACCUGGUCUUGACAUCCCGGAGAUCUCCUGGAAACAGGAGAGUGCUUUCAUUAGAGAGAAUCCGGUGACAGGUGCUGCAUGGCUGUCGUCAGCUCGUGUCGUGAGACGUCUACUUAAGUGUAGUAACGAGCGCAACCCUUGUUCUGUGUUAUAAGUGUCACAGAAGACUGCCUUUGUUAUACAAGGGAGGAAGGAGAGGACGACGUCAAGUCAGCAUGUCCCUUACGUCCGGGGCAACACACAUCCUACAAUGGAGCCGACAACAGGUCGCGACGGGGUAACCCUGAGCUAAUCCUAUAAACGGCCCCUCAGUUCGGAUUGAGGGCUGCAAUUCGCCCUCAUGAAGCCGGAAUCGGUAGUAAUCGCAAAUCAGCAGGUUGCGGUGAAUACGUUCUCGCUCCUUGUACACACUGCCCGUCAAGCCAGCAAAGUCAGCAGCGCCCGAAGCGGGUGACCAUAACCAGUUUACUGGAGUGGCCCUUCUACGGUGAGGUUGGCGAUGAGGACU